GUAGUACCUAAUUUUGUUCAUGCAAUUAUUAUAUUCUUCCAAACCACAGAUCUUAUUUGUAAUAUAUUUACAUUAUUAAAACAUUUAUUGCUUUAAUUUGUUGAUACAAAACUAUGUUCGCUUUCAUAAAUUAGUUUUAUUGCAUUAAUGCAAUUUUUCUACUUACUAAGGUUUUAAGAAUUUGACUUAGUUUAUAAAAUGUACCUGUACUGUAGUUUUUA
This is a non-coding RNA of Cinara cedri, 221 nucleotides long. The record is from the annotation of a GenBank genome assembly. NCBI's taxonomy places the organism in Eukaryota, Metazoa, Arthropoda, Insecta, Hemiptera, Aphididae.